GACGAACGCUGGCGGCGUGCUUAACACAUGCAAGUCGAACGGAAAGGCCCUGCUUUUGUGGGGUGCUCGAGUGGCGAACGGGUGAGUAACACGUGAGUAACCUGCCCUUGACUUUGGGAUAUCUUCAGGAAACUGGGGCUAAUACCGGAUAGGAGCUCCUGCUGCAUGGUGGUGGAUGGAAAGUUUCGGCGGUUGGGGAUGGACUCGCGGCUUAUCAGCUUGUUGGUGGGGUAGUGGCUUACCAAGGCUUUGACGGGUAGCCGGCCUGAGAGGGUGGCCGGCCACAUUGGGACUGAGGGAGGGCCCAGACUCCUACGGUAGGCAGCAGUGGGGAAUAUUGCACAAUGGGCGGAAGCCUGAUGCAGCAACGCCGCGUGCGGGAUGACGGCCUUCGGGUUGUAAACCGCUUUCGCCUGUGACGAAGCGUGAGUGACGGUAAUGGGUAAAGAAGCACCGGCUAACUACGUG
RNAcentral lists this ribosomal RNA (468 nucleotides) under uncultured bacterium. Its description in RNAcentral is "partial 16S ribosomal RNA". It matches the Rfam family "Bacterial small subunit ribosomal RNA", at positions 28 to 507 of the family's 1533-position model. The record is from RNAcentral.